This 305-nucleotide ribosomal RNA is filed under the name uncultured bacterium. RNAcentral's name for it is "bacterial SSU rRNA". It matches the Rfam family "Bacterial small subunit ribosomal RNA", at positions 333 to 654 of the family's 1533-position model. The record is from RNAcentral.
GAAAUCCUACGGGGCGCAGCAGUGGGGAAUAUUGCACAAUGGAGGAAACCCUGAUGCAGCAACGCCGCGUGAGUGAAGAAGGUUUUCGGAUUGUAAAGCUCUGUUAGCAGGGAAGAGGAAGGACGGUACCUGCAGAGGAAGCCACGGCUAACUACGUGCCAGCAGCCGCGGUAAUACGUAGGUGGCAAGCGUUGUUCGGAAUAACUGGGCGUAAAGGAUGCGUAGGCGGUUAAACAAGUUAUAUGUUAAAGAUAUAGGCUUAAACUGUAGAAAGCAUAUAAAACUGUUUAACUAGAGGUCAGGAG